UACGUAGGGUGCAAGCGUUGUCCGGAUUUACUGGGUUUAAAGGGUGCGUAGGCGGGUCUUUAAGUCAGCGGUGAAAGUCUGCAGCUUAACUGUAGAAUUGCCGUUGAUACUGGAGGUCUUGAGUAGCGUUGAGGCAGGCGGAAUUCAUGGUGUAGCGGUGAAAUGCUUAGAUACCAUGAGGAACACCUAUUGCGUAGGCAGCUUGCUAAGCGCAAACUGACGCUGAGGCACGAAAGCGUGGGGAGCGAACAGG
RNAcentral lists this ribosomal RNA (253 nucleotides) under uncultured bacterium. Its description in RNAcentral is "partial 16S ribosomal RNA". It matches the Rfam family "Bacterial small subunit ribosomal RNA", at positions 524 to 776 of the family's 1533-position model. The record is from RNAcentral.